GCAUGGCUGUCGUCAGCUCGUGUCGUGAGAUGUUGGGUUAAGUCCCGCAACGAGCGCAACCCUUGCCUUUAGUUGCCAGCAGUUCGGCUGGGCACUCUAAAGGGACUGCCGGUGUUAAACCGGAGGAAGGUGGGGAUGACGUCAAGUCCUCAUGGCCUUUAUGACCAGGGCUACACACGUACUACAAUGGCCGAUACAAAGGGCAGCGACACUGCGAGGUGAAGCCAAUCCCGUAAAAUCGGUCUCAGUCCGGAUUGGAGUCUGCAACUCGACUCCAUGAAGUUGGAAUCGCUAGUAAUCGUGGAUUCAGCACUGCCACGGUAGAAUAACGUUCCGGGCCUU
RNAcentral lists this ribosomal RNA (342 nucleotides) under uncultured Desulfobulbus sp. RNAcentral's name for it is "bacterial SSU rRNA". It matches the Rfam family "Bacterial small subunit ribosomal RNA", at positions 1043 to 1382 of the family's 1533-position model. Lineage: Bacteria; Pseudomonadati; Thermodesulfobacteriota; Desulfobulbia; Desulfobulbales; Desulfobulbaceae. The record is from RNAcentral.